GACGAACGCUGGCGGCGUGCCUAAUACAUGCAAGUCGAGCGGGGAUUGGUGAAGUGCUUGCACGGAUUCAAUUCUAGCGGCGGACGGGUGAGUAACGCGUGAACAAUCUGUCCCAGACAGGGGGAUAACACUUGGAAACAGGUGCUAAUACCGCAUAAGACCACGAGGAGACAUCUUCUUGGGGUAAAAGAUUUAUCGGUUUGGGGUGAGUUCGCGUCCGAUUAGCUAGUUGGUGAGGUAACGGCCCACCAAGGCGACGAUCGGUAGCCGACCUGAGAGGGUGAUCGGCCACAUUGGAACUGAGACACGGUCCAA
RNAcentral lists this ribosomal RNA (315 nucleotides) under uncultured bacterium. RNAcentral describes it as "bacterial SSU rRNA". It matches the Rfam family "Bacterial small subunit ribosomal RNA", at positions 28 to 334 of the family's 1533-position model. The record is from RNAcentral.